UGGUUCGAUACGUCGGAUGUGAAAAUCAGGGGCUCAACCCCUGACCUGCAUCCGAUACGGUCGAGCUAGAGUUUGGUAGGGGAGACUGGAAUUCCUGGUGUAGCGGUGGAAUGCGCAGAUAUCAGGAGGAACACCGAUGGCGAAGGCAGGUCUCUGGGCCAAUACUGACACUGAGGAGCGAAAGCGUGGGGAGCGAACAGGAUUAGAUACCCUGGUAGUCCACGCCGUAAGCGGUGGGCGCUAGUUGUGCGAACCUUCCACGGUUUGUGCGACGCAGCUAACGCAUUAAGCGCCCCGCCUGGGGAGUACGAUCGCAAGAUUAAAACUCAAAGGAAUUGACGGGGCCCCGCACAAGCAGCGGAGCAUGCGGCUUAAUUCGACGCAACGCGAAGAACCUUACCAAGGCUUGACAUAUACAGGAAUAUGGCAGAGAUGUCAUAGCCGCAAGGUCUGUAUACAGGUGGUGCAUGGUUGUCGUCAGCUCGUGUCGUGAGAUGUUGGGUUAAGUCCCGCAACGAGCGCAACCCUCGUUCUGUGUUGCCAGCAUUAAGUUGGGGACUCACAGGAGACUGCCGGGGUUAACUCGGAGGAAGGUGGGGAUGACGUCAAAUCAUCAUGCCCCUUAUGUCUUGGGCUGCACGCAUGCUACAAUGGCUGGUACAAACGGCUGCGAUACCGCAAGGUGGAGCGAAUCCGAUAAAGCCAGUCUCAGUUCGGAUUGGGGUCUGCAACUCGACCCCAUGAAGUCGGAGUUGCUAGUAAUCGUAGAUCAGCAACGCUACGGUGAAUACGUUCCCGGGGCUUGUACACACCGCCCGUCACAUCACGAAAGUCGGUAACACCCAAAGUCAGUGGCCCAACCGUAAGGAGGGAGCUGCCAAAGGUGGGAUCGGUGAUUGGGAUGAAGUCGUAACAAGG
This 918-nucleotide ribosomal RNA is filed under the name uncultured bacterium. Its description in RNAcentral is "bacterial SSU rRNA". It matches the Rfam family "Bacterial small subunit ribosomal RNA", at positions 576 to 1496 of the family's 1533-position model. The record is from RNAcentral.